This is a small nucleolar RNA of Manis pentadactyla (Chinese pangolin), 104 nucleotides long. RefSeq annotates it as small nucleolar RNA U13. The transcript has a single exon. The record is from RefSeq and is a predicted model, not a curated record. NCBI's taxonomy places the organism in Eukaryota, Metazoa, Chordata, Mammalia, Pholidota, Manidae.
AUCCUUCUGUAGUUCAUAAGCAUGAUGUUUGGGUGUCAAUUCUUUCACGUGACUUGUGCCUGCCUCAAACCUUGUUAUGACAUCGGCACAUUACCCAUCUGACU